CUUGCGGCUGAAAGGAGCGUACGUGGACGGGACGUAUAAUCAACGCCUCAGACAAAAUGAAAAUUUUCGUUUCUGCACUCCUGGUCGGCCUGACUGCAGCGGACAUAACUACCUGCAAGGCAAAAUCACCAAAUGCAAGGAAAGCUUGCAUGCCCAACGAUGUAUCGAGUGUGGGCUUUUAUGGUUAUAACCGAGCGAAAAAUAAAUGCAUGAAGUACCCGCAUUGCAGUUUCAUUACCGGAGAUCCAUUUUAUUCACGGGAAAAAUGCUAUCAGACGUGUAAUGAAACCCACCAGUGCCUGGACAUCUCGUAUUCAGAGUACCAUGAUGCCUAUCCUGUUGGGGUGAAGCCAACGACUUACCAUUAUUAUGACCCAAGCACAGAUGACUGCGUAGAAAUAGACACUUACGGUCUCCUUUCUUCAGACCUUUGGCCAAAUAAUAACGUAUUUAAAACUUACACAAAAUGCAAAAGAGAAUGUGCACCAACAUACCAGAGAAAAAUUAGGCGGCCCUGAAUAAGACAUAGUUUCGCUUUACGUACGAGCAGGCGAUCUUCCUACGGCGAAGCUUUUAUUAAUGGGGAACAUGAUCGCAUUGUUUACCGAUAUGCCGUAGAAAAAAAAAAAUAAAUCACUGUUGGCUGUGGUUCUUUCUGCCUGAACCUGUAAAAGUUAUGGGAAUUCGCUUAAACGAAGACUUCACAAGCGUUCGCGGAAAAUGUUGUGCUUGUUUAGCGGCCACUUGGAAGUAUAGUAGAAUCUCGGUAAACUGGAAUCGCUUGCACAGAAAUGCAACUUCAAAGCGACGACAUUCUUCAAAUUGGUUGCGUUACUUAAUAUUUCUCCCAAAUAAAAUGUGAAACUUUAAUCUUUAAUCCGAACCAAAAUUUUCACAACGCUCUGUAAACGAAACUACAGAAGAAAGCUUUAUAGGAUUUUUUCAGAAUAAGGCAGAAUCUUAAAUACAUAUUUCGCGAUUCGUUUCUAGUAUCGAGAAUGCCAUCCUUAAGAACUGGGGGUAACGGCUCAA
Dermacentor andersoni is the source of this 1032-nucleotide long non-coding RNA. RefSeq lists it as uncharacterized. Lineage: Eukaryota; Metazoa; Arthropoda; Arachnida; Ixodida; Ixodidae. The record is from RefSeq and is a predicted model, not a curated record.